This 254-nucleotide ribosomal RNA is filed under the name uncultured bacterium. Its description in RNAcentral is "partial 16S ribosomal RNA". It matches the Rfam family "Bacterial small subunit ribosomal RNA", at positions 524 to 776 of the family's 1533-position model. The record is from RNAcentral.
CACGUAGGGGGCGAGCGUUGUCCGGAUUUAUUGGGCGUAAAGCGCUUGUAGGCGGCGUGAAAAGUCUCGUGUGAAAGCUCCAGGCUCAACCUGGAAAGUGCGCGAGAAACUGACAUGCUUGAGUGUCGGAGAGGGUGGCGGAAUUCCCGGUGUAGAGGUGAAAUUCGUAGAUAUCGGGAGGAACACCAGAGGCGAAGGCGGCCACCUGGACGAGCACUGACGCUGGAGAAGCGAAAGCGUGGGGAGCAAACAGG